GACGAACGCUGGCGGCGUGCUUAACACAUGCGAGUCGAACGGAAAGGCCCUGCUUUUGUGGGGUGCUCGAGUGGCGAACGGGUGAGUAACACGUGAGUAACCUGCCCUUGACUUUGGGAUAACUUCAGGAAACUGGGGCUAAUACCGGAUAGGAGCUCCUGCUGCAUGGUGGGGGUUGGAAAGUUUCGGCGGUUGGGGAUGGACUCGCGGCUUAUCAGCUUGUUGGUGGGGUAGUGGCUUACCAAGGCUUUGACGGGUAGCCGGCCUGAGAGGGUGACCGGCGACAUUGGGACUGAGAUACGGACCAGACUCCUACGGGAGGCAGCAGUGGGGAAUAUUGCACAAUGGGCGGAAGCCUGAUGCAGCAACGCCGCGUGCGGGAUGACGGCCUUCGGGUUGUAAACCGCUUUCGCCUGUGACGAAGCGUGAGUGACGGUAAUGGGUAAAGAAGCACCGGCUAACUACGUG
This 468-nucleotide ribosomal RNA is filed under the name uncultured bacterium. RNAcentral describes it as "partial 16S ribosomal RNA". It matches the Rfam family "Bacterial small subunit ribosomal RNA", at positions 28 to 507 of the family's 1533-position model. The record is from RNAcentral.